This 393-nucleotide ribosomal RNA is filed under the name uncultured bacterium. RNAcentral describes it as "partial 16S ribosomal RNA". It matches the Rfam family "Bacterial small subunit ribosomal RNA", at positions 523 to 918 of the family's 1533-position model. The record is from RNAcentral.
AUACGGAGGAUCCGAGCGUUAUCCGGAUUUAUUGGGUUUAAAGGGUGCGCAGGCGGGAGAUUAAGUCGGCGGUGAAAUUUUGCAGCUCAACUGUAAAAGUGCCUUCGAAACUGGUUUCCUUGAGUGUAGAUGAAGGAGGCGGAAUUUGUGGUGUAGCGGUGAAAUGCAUAGAUAUCACGAGGAACUCCGAUUGCGCAGGCAGCUUACUAAACUACUACUGACGCUCAGGCACGAAGGCGUGGGGAUCAAACAGGAUUAGAUACCCUGGUAGUCCACGCAGUAAACGAUGAUUACUAGCUGUUUGCGAUACAAUGUAAGCGGCUGAGCGAAAGCGUUAAGUAAUCCACCUGGGGAGUACGUUCGCAAGAAUGAAACUCAAAGGAAUUGACGGGG